This 529-nucleotide ribosomal RNA is filed under the name uncultured organism. RNAcentral describes it as "SSU rRNA". It matches the Rfam family "Eukaryotic small subunit ribosomal RNA", at positions 1254 to 1802 of the family's 1831-position model. The record is from RNAcentral.
GCUCUUUCUUGAUUUUGUGGGUGGUGGUGCAUGGCCGUUCUUAGUUGGUGGAGUGAUUUGUCUGCUUAAUUGCGAUAACGAACGAGACCUUAACCUACUAAAUAGUGCUGCUAGCUUUUGCUGGUAUAGUCACUUCUUAGAGGGACUAUCGAUUUCAAGUCGAUGGAAGUUUGAGGCAAUAACAGGUCUGUGAUGCCCUUAGACGUUCUGGGCCGCACGCGCGCUACACUGACGGAGCCAGCGAGUAUUAACCUUGGCCGAGAGGUCUGGGAAAUCUUGUGAAACUCCGUCGUGCUGGGGAUAGAGCAUUGUAAUUAUUGCUCUUCAACGAGGAAUUCCUAGUAAGCGCAAGUCAUCAGCUUGCGUUGAUUACGUCCCUGCCCUUUGUACACACCGCCCGUCGCUACUACCGAUUGAAUGGCUUAGUGAGGCCUCCGGAUUGGUUUAAAGAAGGGGGCAACUCCAUCUUGGAACCGAAAAGCUGGUCAAACUUGGUCAUUUAGAGGAAGUAAAAGUCGUAACAAGGUUU